CUACGGGAGGCUCCAGUGAGGAAUAUUGCACAAUGGGGGAAACCCUGAUGCAGCAACGCCGCGUGGAGGAUGACGCAUUUCGGUGUGUAAACUCCUUUUAUCAGAGAAGAAAAUGACGGUAUCUGAUGAAUAAGCUCCGGCUAACUCCGUGCCAGCAGCCGCGGUAAUACGGAGGGAGCAAGCGUUAUUCGGAAUCACUGGGCGUAAAGGACGCGUAGGCGGGUUUUUAAGUCAGGUGUGAAAUCCUAUGGCUCAACCAUAGAACUGCACUUGAAACUGAGGACCUUGAGUAUGGAAGGGGCAGGUGGAAUUAGUGGUGUAGGGGUAAAAUCCGUAGAUAUCACUAGGAAUACCGAAAGCGAAGGCGACCUGCUGGGACAUUACUGACGCUGAGGCGUGAAAGCGUGGGGAGCAAACAGGAUUAGAUACCCCAGUAGUC
Molecule: ribosomal RNA, 439 nt
Filed under: uncultured bacterium
Lineage: Bacteria
Description: partial 16S ribosomal RNA
Rfam family: Bacterial small subunit ribosomal RNA
Source: RNAcentral